Molecule: long non-coding RNA, 1770 nt
Organism: Brienomyrus brachyistius
Lineage: Eukaryota; Metazoa; Chordata; Actinopteri; Osteoglossiformes; Mormyridae
Exons: 4
Source: RefSeq, a predicted model, not a curated record
CAGCACUCUUCCUAGCGCUAAGGGCGCCGCUGUGAUCCUCCAAACCCGAGAGCACCAGCGGACUGUAAAUGCAGAAGAGCCUGAAGCAAUGACUCACCCAUCUAUCCCAUCUGAACCCACCACGCACAGGACUCGUGUCAUCCUCCUCACGCAUGGCCUACAACAUCAGAUGCAAGAGGACAAGGGACAAAGUUACAGAUUAAACAUUCACUGAUGCAUUAUGGAAAGUAGAAGCAGUGGUCCUCUUAGUGGAAGUCUGAGAUAAAACCAGUUCCUCAACCCACAAACUCAUAGAAGAUCAGACAUCAAGCCAUUUAUGUCAAUGAAGUUAAUUCAAUGCUGAUUUCAUGCAGGACGUCCAAUUGUCAAUGAACCAUGUUCCAUCACAAGCCAGUAACCAGUUGCCAGAGGUGGUCUCAGCCAGUCGAGAAAGGAAGCCCUACUUGUUUCAUCUCAAAGAGUUGAUAUCUGAGAUGCUGAAAAGCAUAAUUCUCUACCUCAAUCGUACACGUCCUCACAGUUCAUUAAUGACCACCAAUGGACAAGUAUCGCUUUUCCACACACCAGUUACAAACCAAAGCUCCAUCAGUCACACACCCAGUCAAUUAUCGGUCAAUUAUCUGAGGCCAUUGAAUUUUUUUCCUAUAAGAAGCUCUGGAAGAUGCCUGCUGGUUCAAUCUGAAAGACACGAGCAUAGUAUUAAAGCUUAACAGCACCAUUUUGGAACACAAGACUUAAGUGGACAGGAGUAGGCCCCUUAUUACAAUGGUUCACUGGGUUUUGGGUCUGCAAUAAUAAAAAGCCAGGAGCUCAGCAUUAUUGGCUCACAAUACGCUCCGGAGUGUGGAUGGAGAAGUGCUGAGUUCCCACAUUGCAGGAAGUGCUGUAAUAAGCGUACCAGUGGCACCGCCCCGCAAAGGCCCUGAUCGAUUGGUCAUUUGGUGCUGGACUUUGCUUGAUGUGACUCUGUGUUGAUGAGAGCAGAAAUGAUUAAGAAUCUUUCUGGGAUCCCUUCACACGUGCGAAAUUAGGUCUGGAGAUGUUGGCUGGUGUUGAAGACACCGUCCACGUACAUGUGUUCAUGGAAUUUCAGCAAGUUCUUUGCAUGGUAAAUGUAAAAGAGAAACAAUUGAUCAAUCUUUUGAAAACCCAAUAUUAUUGCACUGUGAUUGCAGCUAUUUUUGUAUUGCUCCCUUCUUAUUCAGUUGUGUGAAUAGCACAGCGGAAAGGCAGCCAAAGGCAUGAUGUCAUUGUCUUCCUGGCAAAAAAACUAAGCCUACUAAUUGAAGAAAAAGGCAAGCCAGAAGCUAUAAAGAGCAGAGCUGAGGCACAGAGCCUAAUCUUCACUGCAAGCCAUGUGUUUUGCUUCCUGGAUCCUGGCACUUCUGACACAUUAAAACAGGGACCUCACAGACAUGAUUAGAUAUCACAUGACUGCCUUUCCUGCUUUUGUUGAAAGGGAACAAAAAACGGCAGAAUGAAGUGCAGGGAGUGAAGUCGCUUGAGGUUUCAACAGAGUAUUUGGGUCAUUGUAUGUUUGCUAGUCCAAAUAAAGUGUGAAUUAUCAGAGUGCAACAUUUUCCCAUGGGACCGAGGCACGACAAGCUACUGAUCACAGGGCCACACACAUAUCUGCUAUCGAGGGGAAAUUAUAAAUGUUUUUUUCUUUUUUCCCAUCGGAAUUCCUGCAAGCAUGUGAUUGUUUGUCUGAAUAGGACAUUCAGAGGCUGACCUCUACAUACAGGAUUGAAAUAGCAGAGAAUUCACAGA